Long non-coding RNA from Myotis brandtii (Brandt's bat), 630 nucleotides. RefSeq lists it as uncharacterized. The transcript is spliced from 2 exons. The record is from RefSeq and is a predicted model, not a curated record. Lineage: Eukaryota; Metazoa; Chordata; Mammalia; Chiroptera; Vespertilionidae.
UUGAAGAAUGAAUAGUGGGGAUCCUAAUAAUAAUAACAUACCUAAACUCAUGCUGAUUUUAAUGUAUACAGAGCAUUUACACACACAUUAUUGUUUGAACUCUGUAUACAUGUGUGCAUCUUUGGAAAAGCCCAGUUUGAACCAUGUUGUCAUCCUUACUGUACAAUUCUGCAGCCCCAAAGGAAGUAGCCCCAGGAGGGUGUGUUCUUUUAUCAUGUUUUGCUGGAAUAGUCAUGUGUCUAAACUCCUCAGGGCAGAUCUUGGUGCGGCAUCAGAUGUAGCAUGAACAAUGAAGAAUUGUCACUGCUAAGUAGAAAGGUGGCAUUCUGGUUGAUGAUUAUGCUCAACCAGGUACAAUUGACCCUCAAACCACUUGGGGUUAGAUUAUGUGGGUCUACUUAUAUUUGGAUUUUUUUCAGGAAAUACUGUAAAUGUAUUUUCUCUUCCUUAUGAUUUUCUUAAUGACAUUUUCUAUUCUCUAGCUUUCUUUACUGUAAAAAUAUAGUAUAUAAUACAUAUAUCAUACAAAAUAUGUGAUAAUCAACUGUUAAUUUUAUCCAUAAAGAUUCUGGUCAACAAUAGGGUAUUAGUAGUUAAUUUUGGGGGAGUUUAAAGUCAUAUGUGGAUUUU